RNAcentral lists this ribosomal RNA (459 nucleotides) under uncultured bacterium. Its description in RNAcentral is "partial 16S ribosomal RNA". It matches the Rfam family "Bacterial small subunit ribosomal RNA", at positions 338 to 795 of the family's 1533-position model. The record is from RNAcentral.
CCUACGGGGGGCAGCAGUGAGGAAUAUUGGUCAAUGGGCGCGAGCCUGAACCAGCCAAGUCGCGUGAGGGAAGACGGUCCUAUGGAUUGUAAACCUCUUUUGUCGGGGAGCAAAAGACGCCACGCGUGGCGUUCCGAGAGUACCCGAAGAAAAAGCAUCGGCUAACUCCGUGCCAGCAGCCGCGGUAAUACGGAGGAUGCGAGCGUUAUCCGGAUUUAUUGGGUUUAAAGGGUGCGCAGGCGGAAGAUCAAGUCAGCGGGAAAAUUGAGAGGCUCAACCUCUUCGAGCCGUUGAAACUGGUUUUCUUGAGUGAGUGAGAGGUAUGCGGAAUGCGUGGUGUAGCGGUGAAGUGCAUAGAUAUCACGCAGAACUCCGAUUGCGAAGGCAGCAUACCGGCGCUCAACUGACGCUCAUGCACGAAAGUGUGGGUAUCGAACAGGAUUAGAUACCCCAGUAGUC